UGAGCAACCUGCCCUUGACUCUGGAAUAACAGCUGGAAACAGCUGCUAAUACCGGAUACGACCUCCGAUGGCAUCAUCUGGAGGUGGAAAGCUCCGACGGUCAAGGAUCGGCUCGCGGCCUAUCAGCUUGUUGGUGAGGUAACGGCUCACCAAGGCUUCGACGGGUAGCCGGCCUGAGAGGGCGACCGGCCACACGUGGGACUGAGAUACCGGCCCAGACCUCGUACGGGA
This 231-nucleotide ribosomal RNA is filed under the name uncultured bacterium. RNAcentral's name for it is "partial 16S ribosomal RNA". It matches the Rfam family "Bacterial small subunit ribosomal RNA", at positions 118 to 346 of the family's 1533-position model. The record is from RNAcentral.